UGGGGAAUAUUGCACAAUGGGGGAAACCCUGAUGCAGCGACGCCGCGUGAACGAAGAAGGUAUUCGUAUCGUAAAGUUCUGUCCUAUGGGAAGAUAAUGACAGUACCAUAGAAGAAAGCUCCGGCUAAAUACGUGCCAGCAGCCGCGGUAAUACGUAUGGAGCGAGCGUUGUCCGGAAUUUUUGGGCGUAAAGGGUACGCAGGCGGUUUAAUAAGUCGAAUGUUAAAGAUCGGGGCUCAACCCCGCAAAGCAUUGGAAACUGAUAAACUUGAGUAGUGGAGAGGAAAGUGGAAUUCCUAGUGUAGUGGUGAAAUACGUAGAUAUUAGGAGGAAUACCAGUAGCGAAGGCGACUUUCUGGACACAAACUGACGCUGAGGUACGAAAGCGUGGGGAGCAAACAGG
RNAcentral lists this ribosomal RNA (403 nucleotides) under bacterium. RNAcentral describes it as "partial 16S ribosomal RNA". It matches the Rfam family "Bacterial small subunit ribosomal RNA", at positions 355 to 776 of the family's 1533-position model. The record is from RNAcentral.